This 305-nucleotide ribosomal RNA is filed under the name uncultured bacterium. RNAcentral's name for it is "bacterial SSU rRNA". It matches the Rfam family "Bacterial small subunit ribosomal RNA", at positions 338 to 659 of the family's 1533-position model. The record is from RNAcentral.
CCUACGGGGCGCAGCAGUAGGGAAUCUUCCACAAUGGGCGAAAGCCUGAUGGAGCAACGCCGCGUGGGUGAAGAAGUAUUUCGGUAUGUAAAGCUCUAUCAGCAGGGAAGAAGAAAGACGGUACCUGACUAAGAAGCCCCGACUAACUACGUGCCAGCAGCCGCGGUAAUACGUAGGGGGCAAGCGUUAUCCGGAUUUACUGGGUGUAAAGGGAGCGUAGACGGCUGUGCAAGUCUGAAGUGAAAGCCCAGGGCUCAACCCUGGGACUGCUUUGGAAACUGUGGAGCUAGAGUGCUGGAGAGGUA